This 301-nucleotide ribosomal RNA is filed under the name uncultured bacterium. RNAcentral describes it as "partial 16S ribosomal RNA". It matches the Rfam family "Bacterial small subunit ribosomal RNA", at positions 509 to 807 of the family's 1533-position model. The record is from RNAcentral.
CAGUAGCCGCGGUAAUACGUAGGCAGCGAGCGUUGUUCGGAAUUACUGGGCGUAAAGAGUGCGUAGGCGGUGCUCUAAGUCUGUCGUGAAAUCUCCCGGCUUAACUGGGAGGGUGCGGCGGAAACUGGAAUGCUCGAGUAUGGGAGAGGUAAGCGGAAUUCCUGGUGUAGCGGUGAAAUGCGUAGAUAUCAGGAGGAACACCUGUGGUGUAGACAGCUUACUGGACCAUGACUGACGCUGAGGCACGAAAGCGUGGGUAGCAAACAGGAUUAGAUACCCGUGUAGUCCCUGUCUCUUAUAC